This is a regulatory RNA element of Saccharomonospora sp., 41 nucleotides long. It matches the Rfam family "L31-Actinobacteria ribosomal protein leader". Lineage: Bacteria; Bacillati; Actinomycetota; Actinomycetes; Pseudonocardiales; Pseudonocardiaceae. The record is from Rfam.
CCGGCUCCGGUUCACCUCGCUGUUCGCGGGGACCCGGCGCU